AAGCGGAGGAAAAGAAACUAACAAGGAUUCCCCUAGUAACGGCGAGUGAAGCGGGAACAGCUCAAAUUUUAAAUCUGGCUGCUUCGCAGUCCGAGUUGUAAUUUGAAGGCGUCUGUCGCAUGUGAGACGAUGGCACAAGUCCUCUGGAACGUGGCAUCGUAGAGGGUGAGAAUCCCGUCUCUGGUCGUUGUCUUGCAGGCACACGGCAGGCGAUCCGAAGAGUCGAGUUGUUUGGGAUUGCAGCUCCAAAUGGGUGGUAAACUCCAUCUAAGGCUAAAUAUUGGCGAGAGACCGAUAGCGAACAAGUACCGUGAGGGAAAGAUGAAAAGAACUUUGAAAAGAGAGUAAAACAGUACGUGAAAUUGUUGAAAGGGAAACGCUUGAAGUCAGUCGUGCCGGCGGGGAUUCAGCGAACUUCGCGGAGUGAGCGUAUUUCCUCGCAUGGCAGGUCAGCGUCAGUUUUGCGCGUCGUGAAAGGGCUCGGGUAAGGUGACUCUCUUCGGGGAGUGUUAUAGGCCUGAGCAGAUGCGAUGCGCGGGACUGAGGAUUGCAGCGGACACCCUUCGGGGCGCGGCGACCGAUCCCUGCUCUGUCACCUUCGUCCGAUAGCGUGCUAACGGUCGGGGGAGCGGCGGUUGCACCGGGUUGGCAAGCCGGCGGCUUCGCUAAGGAUGCUGGCGUAAUGGCUUUAAACGACCCGUCUUG
RNAcentral lists this ribosomal RNA (705 nucleotides) under Glomeromycotina sp. OTU25 DJMC-2012. Its description in RNAcentral is "eukaryotic LSU rRNA". It matches the Rfam family "Eukaryotic large subunit ribosomal RNA", at positions 48 to 656 of the family's 3401-position model. Lineage: Eukaryota; Fungi; Glomeromycota. The record is from RNAcentral.